Molecule: non-coding RNA, 3305 nt
Organism: Taeniopygia guttata (zebra finch)
Lineage: Eukaryota; Metazoa; Chordata; Aves; Passeriformes; Estrildidae
Source: RefSeq, a predicted model, not a curated record
UCGUCGGCAGCAGCACUUGUGAAGAGCCGGCGUGAGCGGGAGGAUACUCUGUAGCUGUGGCUUUAGGUGCUACGGCAGGAUGUAGAUCCGGCAGAGGGAGGAAUGCAGAGGGAUAUGGUGAUAGGGGGCCCUUACCACAAAUGGGCAGAUGGUUGCCAGCUUGCCUUCAGGGUCUUCAACAAGGAUGUUGUGCUUGCUUCACAUAGUCAUUGUGGCUACAUCGAUCCCUGAAAUCAUGCCUGCUACCUGUUGUAGUUCCCAGUUUGCUAGCUAUUCUGAGCGGGCAAUGAUGGUCACGUAUGAACCAGUGUCCAGCAUCCUUGGUCAGUAGAUCUUCUCUCCUUUGCAGGAUGGACCACACUCGAUGGUAGGCUUACUUGGACCCACAACUUGUGCCCACAUUGCUGUAGGGUUGAGAGGAAGUCUUUCCCUGUGAUUCUUUGGGAGUAAAAAGGCUUGUACAAUCGGGGUUCCCUAUGAAACAGCACAGCUGGACAAAGAUUUCUUGUCCUGGGUGCACUGUUUGUUCUUCUAGAAGAACAAAGAUUUCUUCUGGACCAUGCAAAGUGUCACCUAUAAUUAAAAUGUCAAAAGGACCACCUUUUGGCCUAUGCUUUCCUGUGGGAGUACGCUAAACAUCCUCAUUAUUAAAAUCAAUGGACAGAGUAGUUUCCGGUUGGCGCCAGGUUCCCAUCUUUAUGGCUCCGUGUGUUGGAUCCUCUUCAUGUGACAUGGAAUCUCCUGAGAUGAUGUGUGGUUAGAUCUGAAUGGCUUUUGAUUUGUCUUUGUGCAGGGCCUGGCUGCGCUCCGCUGGAAGUUUCCCAAGCACUGCUGGUAGCACUGCUGGUAGAACUGCUGGUAGCACUGCUGGUAGCACUGCUGACUCUGGGGUUUUUGGUGGGUGUUGUAGGAGUUUCGGAUAGGUGACCUAACUGGGCAGUCCUUUAUAAAAUGUCCAAAGUCUCCACAGUGAUAGCAGCGGGCCUGGUCUUUGGAAGUCACUACUGCAAAUGCACCAGAAACUCCUGCAAUACCCUUAGCAACUGCUUGGGCCACUGUGUUUUCAGUGGACAAAUGACAUGUACAGCUUUCCACCAUUUGCUCUAUGGUAGGUUCUGUAUCCAAGGGUAGGGCCCUCAGAAUUUUUUUACAUUGUUCAUUAGCAUUCCUCAUAGCAAGUUUACACAAAAGCUCCUUUCUUGCCUCUAUGCUCUCUAUCUGUUUUUCCAGAGCAUCCUUAAUUCUGUCCACAAACUCGAGAAAGCUUUCAUCUAGUUCUUGUUUAAUAUUAGAGAAGCGUUGGGUAGGAAUAGAGUCAUCUGGGGUAAGAAGUAAGGAGGUUUUUGCUUUAAUAGCCAAGUCCUGUAGUGCCACCUCAGACAAGGUGUUAGCUUGGUCAGAGGGCUUCUGAUAAUCCCCUUCUCUAGCCAGCUGUUCGACUGUAAAAUUUGGCCUAUUUGCAUCUUGAGAAUAGGUGUCUGAUAAUGUUUUUAAUUGUCUUUUCCAAUGCCUUUCCCACAGCAUAUAUUCUGCCAGGGAAAGAAGACAGUGGGCAAUAUUUUUAACAUAGUGAGGCACUAAAACAUGUGCCAAGAAGAUAGCUUCUAGGAAAUUUUUAAAAAUAUGUGAACUUCUACCAUGUUCUUUUGCCACUUUACGGAGUUGUAUGAGCUCUUUGUGUUAGGUUCCCAUGUUGUUUUAGUGGAGGCAUCUUCUCUUCUUCCCUUUAUAUAAAUUACUGAGAAGGCAGAAAUUUUCUGAGCCAGUUCCCAAUCCCCUUUGUUCACAAGGCAUGCUUUUCGUGGCUUAGUGCCCGAGAGCAUCCAGACGUCCGUAAUUCUUUGUUUAAAACAAAGAAUUGUCCUUUAUGGUCCUAACUCUGAUUGUCUAAAUCCUUAUUGCUCUAAUUUUUAUUACUGUUUUUAUACUAUUAAACUUUUAAAAAAUUUAAAACAAGUGAUUGGCAUUUUUCACAAUUAUGGUAGCAGAGGAUGGUUUCUAACACCUCUCUGCCAGUGCCUUAGGAGAAUCAGGGUGAGGAAGACGCAUCCUGCCCUGUUAUGCAGCCUUGCUCUGUUCCUUUAGUGUGGCUGACAGAUGCAGGUUACCAUCAAUGGCCAAAAGGAGGCAAUAAAACAAAGGGAAUGAAUUCCCUAAAACCGCAGUAAUUAGCCCCUGAGACUAAAGUGUAUGUGAAGAACAAAGACCCAAGGACAAAGAGAGGCGGGCUGGUUAUCCCAGACCUGCCAAGUGAUUGCGGUAGUCUCUCAUGCUGCGUUUCAGUCUUUUUUGCGAGAAAAGCAGCCAGUAAAGAGACGAAGCUAGUGAUAAAAAAGAGUGAGAGAAUCCCCCCCUGGGGAAACUGGGACUGGGUCUUAGGGAAGGAGUGGAACCCCUUGGAGAGAAGAAGCCAAGAGUUUUUCUGGCAUAAUCCACUAGGGAAAAUAGAAGAAAUAGUGUGAAAGGGGCCCCUAAAAAUUAUGCUGGAUUGAGGGAUAAGAGUGCCCAAGAACAUCCAGGAUUCAAACCUGCUGGGUUGAGGGAUUAACGUUCCAAGAGCAUCCAGGGUUGAGCAAAAUUCUGCCGGAUUGAGGAUAUGCCCAAGAGCAUCCAGGGUUGGACAACACAGCUGGAUUGAGGGAUAAAAAUGCCCAAGAGCAUCUGGGGUUGGACAACAUAGCUGGAUUGAGGGAUAUCCAAGAGCACCAGGACGGGUCAGUAACACCUAAAAGUGUAAUCGGUUAAUUGAAAGUAAAAGGCACCUUGUUGUCUUAUUGUGUGUGUGAAGGUGGGUCCUGCACCAACAAGCCGUUUCCCCUGCGGCUGGGGACUGAGGCAAAACCCGCAAAACAAGCCUUGUCCCGGGUGUGAGGGGGAAGUUGUGACUACUAAGUGUGAGUCACAUGCAGACAGCCUCAAAGGUGAACUGGCACAAGAGGCAACCGAAUUAAGGGCACUUCCCGGAGGCCUGGUGGUACUGAAGUCCAGAGAGGCUGACCCCAAAGCAAGGGUAGUUGUGUAACCCGUUCCCUGGGGGGGGGGGUGUGGUAGGUAAGGGACAGGCGAACGGAAGAUUUCGGGGUGUGACGGAAAGAUAGACCCAUCCCCCUCUCUCUCUCUCUCUCUCUCUUCCCCACUUAUCUAUUAACUCCAGAAGCCUCAGAGGAAUGCAGCCACACCGGCCCUAGUAAAUUUCCACUACCCACUAACCCCUGAGACCCCCAACCCCCCUCUGACGUAGCAAAGACCCCUAAAAGCUAUUUAAACCCACGAGAUAGGAUAAUAAACGCUUUUCAACCGUCUGC